RNAcentral lists this ribosomal RNA (271 nucleotides) under uncultured bacterium. RNAcentral's name for it is "partial 16S ribosomal RNA". It matches the Rfam family "Bacterial small subunit ribosomal RNA", at positions 524 to 796 of the family's 1533-position model. The record is from RNAcentral.
UACGAAGGGGGCUAGCGUUGUUCGGAAUAACUGGGCGUAAAGCGCACGUAGGCGGAAUGUUAAGUGAGGGGUGAAAUCCCGGGGCUCAACCCCGGAACUGCCUUUCAUACUGCAAUCUAGAGAUCGAGAGAGGUGAGUGGAAUUCCGAGUGUAGAGGUGAAAUUCGUAGAUAUUCGGAGGAACACCAGUGGCGAAGGCGGCUCACUGGCUCGAACCUGACGCUGAGGUGCGAAAGUGUGGGGAGCAAACAGGAUUAGAUACCCCGUAGUCC